CAAAACGGCCAUACCACGUUGAACACACCAGUUUCUCGUCCGAUCACUGAAGUUAAGCAACGUCGGCCGGUUAGUACUUGGAUGGGUGACCGCCCUGGGAACCCGGGUGUGUUGG
Molecule: ribosomal RNA, 115 nt
Filed under: Orchesella cincta
Lineage: Eukaryota; Metazoa; Arthropoda; Collembola; Entomobryomorpha; Orchesellidae
Source: RNAcentral